AUUGAACGCUGGCGGAAUGCUUUACACAUGCAAGUCGAACGGCAGCACGGACUUCGGUCUGGCGGCGAGUGGCGAACGGGUGAGUAACGUAUCGGAACGUGCCCAGUCGUGGGGGAUAACGUAGUGAAAAUUACGCUAAUACCGCAUACGAUCUAUGGAUGAAAGCGGGGGAUCGCAAGACCUCGCGCGAUUGGAGCGGCCGAUAUCAGAUUAGGUAGUUGGUGGGGUAAAGGCCCACCAAGCCAACGAUCUGUAGCUGGUCUGAGAGGACGACCAGCCCCACUGGAACUGAGACACGGUCCAGACUCCUACGGGAGGCAGCAGUGGGGAAUUUUGGACAAUGGGCGAAAGCCUGAUCCAGCCAUUCCGCGUGCAGGAUGAAGGCCCUCGGGUUGUAAACUGCUUUUGUACAGAACGAAAAGGUUUCUACUAAUACUAGGAGCUCAUGACGGUACUGUAAGAAUAAGCACCGGCUAACUACGUGCCAGCCGCCGCCGUAA
This 500-nucleotide ribosomal RNA is filed under the name uncultured bacterium. RNAcentral describes it as "partial 16S ribosomal RNA". It matches the Rfam family "Bacterial small subunit ribosomal RNA", at positions 30 to 523 of the family's 1533-position model. The record is from RNAcentral.